AAUAUUCAACCUUGCUGGCUGUGUUUAAUUUACUGGCGGGCCUGUGUUGGGCUGUGGAAGCUGCUAGCAGGUCUUUGUGUCUUGUCAGCUCUUCUUAAAUGCAUUAGCAACAAUCACUGCUAAAACUUGUUGAUAUGAUAAACUUAUAUCUAUAUCAUUGAGAUAUUGUCUUGAUUUUGCUGCAAACUCUCUUUUUGAGACACUCGAAUGACAA
RNAcentral lists this unclassified non-coding RNA (214 nucleotides) under uncultured Agaricomycetes. RNAcentral describes it as "sequence contains ITS2". The record is from RNAcentral. Lineage: Eukaryota; Fungi; Basidiomycota; Agaricomycetes.